Molecule: ribosomal RNA, 468 nt
Filed under: uncultured bacterium
Lineage: Bacteria
Description: partial 16S ribosomal RNA
Rfam family: Bacterial small subunit ribosomal RNA
Source: RNAcentral
GACGAACGCUGGCGGCGUGCUUAACACAUGCAAGUCGAACGGAAAGGCCCUGCUUUUGUGGGGUGCUCGAGUGGCGAACGGGUGAGUAACACGUGAGUAACCUGCCCUUGACUUUGGGAUAACUUCAGGAAACUGGGGCUAAUACCGGAUAGGAGCUCCUGCUGCAUGGGGGGGGUUGGAAAGUUUCGGCGGUUGGGGAUGGACUCGCGGCUUAUCAGCUUGUUGGUGGGGUAGUGGCUUACCAAGGCUUUGACGGGUAGCCGGCCUGAGAGGGUGACCGGCCACAUUGGGACUGCGAUACGGCCCAGACUCCUACGGGAGGCAGCAGUGGGGAAUAUUGCACAAUGGGCGGAAGCCUGAUGCAGCAACGCCGCGUGCGUGAUGACGGCCUUCGGGUUGUAAACCGCUUUCGCCUGUGACGAAGCGUGAGUGACGGUAAUGGGUAAAGAAGCACCGGCUAACUACGUG